RNAcentral lists this unclassified non-coding RNA (341 nucleotides) under soil metagenome. RNAcentral describes it as "partial contains 5.8S ribosomal RNA, internal transcribed spacer 2, and large subunit ribosomal RNA". The stretch from base 1 to 120 matches the Rfam family "5.8S ribosomal RNA", at positions 35 to 154 of the family's 154-position model. The record is from RNAcentral.
GAUGAAGAACGUAGCAAAAUGCGAUAAGUAAUGUGAAUUGCAGAAUUCCGUGAAUCAUCGAAUCUUUGAACGCACAUUGCGCCCGCCAGUAUUCUGGCGGGCAUGCCUGUUCGAGCGUCAUUUCAACCCUCAAGCCCCCGGGCUUGGUGUUGGGGAUCGGCCGCCCUCCGGCGCGCCGGCCCCGAAAUCUAGUGGCGGUCUCGCUGUAGCCUCCUCUGCGUAGUAGCACACCUCGCACCGGAACGCAGCCUGGCCACGCCGUUAAACCCCCCACUUCUGAAGGUUGACCUCGGAUCAGGUAGGAAUACCCGCUGAACUUAAGCAUAUCAAUAAGCGGAGGA